This 497-nucleotide ribosomal RNA is filed under the name uncultured bacterium. RNAcentral describes it as "partial 16S ribosomal RNA". It matches the Rfam family "Bacterial small subunit ribosomal RNA", at positions 28 to 507 of the family's 1533-position model. The record is from RNAcentral.
GAUGAACGCUGGCGGCGUGCCUAACACAUGCAAGUCGAGCGAACGGACGAGAAGCUUGCUUGUCUGAUGUUAGCGGCGGACGGGUGAGUAACACGUGGAUAAACUAACUCUAAGACUGGGAUAAUUUCGGGAAAUCGUGGCUAAUACCCGAUAAUAUAUUGAACCGCAUGGUUCCAAAGUGGAAGUCGCUCUUGCUGUCACUAAUAGAUGGAUCCGCGCUGCAUUAGUUAGUUGGUAAGGUAACGGCUUAGCAAGGCAACGAUGCAUAGCCGACCUGAGAGGGUGGACGGACAGCCUGGAUGUGAGGAAGGUCACAGACUCCGGGAGGAGGCAGCAGUAGGGAAUCUUCCGCGAUGGGCGAGAGCCUGACGGAGCAACGCCGCGUGAGUGCUGAACGUCUUCGGACCGUAAAGCUCUGUUAUUAGGGAAGAACAUAUGUGUAAGUACCUGUGAAGAUAUUGACAGUACCUAAUCAGAAAGCCCCGGCUAACUACGUG